Molecule: ribosomal RNA, 253 nt
Filed under: uncultured bacterium
Lineage: Bacteria
Description: partial 16S ribosomal RNA
Rfam family: Bacterial small subunit ribosomal RNA
Source: RNAcentral
UACGUAGGGAGCAAGCGUUGUCCGGAAUCAUUGGGCGUAAAGCGCGCGUAGGCGGCCCCGUAAGUCCGCUGUGAAAGUCAAAGGCUCAACCUUUGAAAGCCGGUGGAUACUGUGGGGCUAGAGUCCGGAAGAGGCGAGUGGAAUUCCUGGUGUAGCGGUGGAAUGCGCAGAUAUCAGGAGGAACACCAAGAGCGAAGGCAGCUCGCUGGGACGGUACUGACGCUAAGGCGCGAAAGCGUGGGGAGCGAACAGG